Molecule: ribosomal RNA, 445 nt
Filed under: uncultured bacterium
Lineage: Bacteria
Description: partial 16S ribosomal RNA
Rfam family: Bacterial small subunit ribosomal RNA
Source: RNAcentral
UGGGGAAUAUUGCACAAUGGGCGCAAGCCUGAUGCAGCCAUGCCGCGUGUGUGAAGAAGGCCUUCGGGUUGUAAAGCACUUUCAGCGAGGAGGAAGGUGGUGAGCUUAAUACGCUCAUCAAUUGACGUUACUCGCAGAAGAAGCACCGGCUAACUCCGUGCCAGCAGCCGCGGUAAUACGGAGGGUGCAAGCGUUAAUCGGAAUUACUGGGCGUAAAGCGCACGCAGGCGGUUUGUUAAGUCAGAUGUGAAAUCCCCGGGCUCAACCUGGGAACUGCAUUUGAAACUGGCAAGCUAGAGUCUCGUAGAGGGGGGUAGAAUUCCAGGUGUAGCGGUGAAAUGCGUAGAGAUCUGGAGGAAUACCGGUGGCGAAGGCGGCCCCCUGGACGAAGACUGACGCUCAGGUGCGAAAGCGUGGGGCAGCAAACAGGAUUAGAUACCCUGGU